Non-coding RNA from Lepisosteus oculatus (spotted gar), 7294 nucleotides. The record is from RefSeq and is a predicted model, not a curated record. Lineage: Eukaryota; Metazoa; Chordata; Actinopteri; Semionotiformes; Lepisosteidae.
CACAAUACUCCACACAAUUUAAACAGAACAUUACAAACAUAAUAGAUAAUAACAACAUAUAAAUAAUAACAAUUAAUACAGGGCAACAAAAUGCUUUGGCGAUCCAUGGCUGUACUUAUGACUGUUUUGGAAAUCAAUUUUAAUUGCUACCCUUGCCUCCUUCAGAAAUAUGAAAAAAACAAUCAUACAAAAAUCUAUAUAGAUGUUUUACGUUUUUACUAUGAUUUAACCGUGAGUUAUUAACUGUCUGGACCAGUUACCAAGUUAUUGUCUGCUUGUUUUGUUUUACUGCUAUCAUAAAAAUAGAUCCCAAUUGCAAAUCUAAUCAUAAAGCUAAAGAACAGUAACUAACACAAUAUAUUAUAAUUUCCUUUUAUAAAUUAACAUUUUAGUUAUUGCUUAAUCAGACUUGGGCACCAAAUCCAUUUCAUUAAAGAAGAACAGGUUAAACCUUUACAUUUUAGGUUCUGUUUAUUCUUAAGCAUGGUGCCAAGGAGAGGCAUUAAGUACUUACAAUUGCCCAUAAAAAGGGUUGGAUUGAAUAUUGUAUUUCAUGUGGUAAAAGCCUUUCUGAAGAUUUGACAUGAGUUUACUAUACUGUAGAUUGCUGUAGUCAUCACAUCACAGUAAUAUUCCAUUUACUUAUUAUCAGAAAGCUGCUUAUUCCUUAGAAAGGUUGAGACAAUCCAGAGAUUACCCUUAUUAUCAUGUUGGUCCAUCACAGUGCACUCGAACAAGUAAGCAUUCAGGCAAGCAGCUUAAGGAAAUAAAUAAACAUACAGUAGCUUGUCCUUGGAAGGUGGAAGGAAACUGGAUCAUUGAGAAAUAAUGGGGAGAACAUAAAAAUACCAGGCAUGAAUUGAACCCUGGAGCCAGGAACUGCAAUCCAGUAGUAAUGUUAUGCUACCCUUCUUCCAAGUUAUAUUUCAAUACAGAAGUUAAGACUAUGCAAAAAUAGGAAAAUGGCACCAAUGAGGGCGGAUUCAGAAAUGGCUAUAGAACACAGAUCAACUGUUACACCAGUAUGGAAAAGAUGUGUGUAGAAUCAUAUAAAACCAUAUUUAAAGUGAUAUUACCAAUUUAGUAAUUAAAAACAUUUUGGGGAGUGAGUUUAAUAAGCUUUCUUGGUCAGUUAUACAAUUAAAGUUUAGAAAGCAGAUGAAUAUUUGGGUGAUUUCAAAUAUGGCUGACAACAUGCAAACUUUUAACAAUUGCAGCACACAGUAUUAUGAUACUCUACUGUAUACUGUAAAAUGAUGUUUUCAUUUUCAGUCACAUACUUUAUUAUGUAAAAGAUGCUUACAUGUAAUCACUAAAAACCUAAAAUAAAUGGAUUAGAGAUUACUGGCUAUGAGUGAUACCUAGUAGUUUUAGGGUGUUGCACAUCUGAAGCAAGUUUAAAUUUCCAUUGGGGAAAUACACUAACCUAUGUCUGUGACGUGAUUUUAUAAAGUUAUAAAUAACAAUUUACAGUAUUAGAGAGGUCAUUUGACACACUGAGACAUUUCAGGGGAAUAAAUAGCCCAAAAUGUAUGGAGAAACUACAUCCAGAAGAUUUCUUCUUUGACUGAACAACUAAACAGGCCCCUGAACACGGUUUGCACAAAUCAUGUUUCAUUACAUCUUACACAUCCGAAUUAAAUAUACGGUAGAUUAGUGAUGCUACCCUAGCUCUAUAUUCAAUAGGUCUUUUUGUCAUUGCCAGUGGAAGGCCUUUGCAAGAUACAAACAAAGGACAAGUACUGUGUACACCAGAAAGGAGAGCAUGGCAGUAUCUGUCACUUCCUUAUUCUGCAAGAAGGCACUUUGAAACAGCUUUCAGCCCAAUAAUGUAUAAAUUCAGGCUGUGUGUGAACUGCAAAACUCACAAUAAGAGACUCACCAGCAGAGACCUAGUUCAUGCUUCUGUGACAAACUUUUUGAAUGUAUCCAAAAGAGGCUUUUCAUUGUUAAGAGUACUUUAACUUCAGAUCCUAUAUUUUGCUAAAUUGAAUGACUAUAAACUAUUAGGUAUCAAAUCUCUUCACCGAUGAAAGAGGCUUUUCUCGGAUUUAUUCAGUACUUUAAAGACAUAAACUAAUGAAAUGUAAAAAAAAGAUGUUUGGACCAAAAUGAACCUUAGAGGGACAGAUUGAUUUCUGAUUAUGUACUAAAUCCUGAUUAACAUUCUAUUUAUGUUUCUCUCAUUUUCCCUUUAUAAAACCAAUGACCUUUACAGUAAACUUGACAAAUGAUAUACUUUCUCACCAAAUGCAGAACAACAAGCCAGCUUUUCUUAUCCUAAUAGAAUGUCCAAAGUCAAACAUUGCUUGUCAAAAGUAAAAGAAAAGGCUAUGCAAACCUCUGAAUGCGUUGCCUUCAAGUAUAAAACCCUAAAGAAAGUUUAACCUAAGUAUCGGCUUUUUAACGGUGGAAAAAGGCUUGAUCUAAUUGUCAGACUAUUACCAUUUAGCAAUGAAUGUCAAGUUAUGCAUUAUCACGGUAUGAGUAAGGAACUGGUAAAAGAAAAAUAAACAAAAGUAAAUAAAAAAAAAUAGCAUACUAUGAUAUGACAAAGCACAUUAUCACAGCAUAAUAUUAUCACAGCAAAGUAUUAUUGUCAUGCUGAAAAUCUGUUAUUCUAAUUGUUGGAAUUGGUUGUAGUAGAUAAAAGUCUUAUCAGGAAAUUCUCAUUUCAGGCUUUAGCUGUCGUUCUCAUUGGAUUAGAUUUAAAAUCAAGAUCCUGUUGUAAGCGACUCUGUACCUAAUGAAGAACUGUUUACUCCCCUGUCUCUCUAUAUAGUAUGUUCGUUAAGUUUCAGCUAAAUGGUGAAUUAACCUUCAUAUUAUUAGCGGCAUAGGGGUUAAUAUACAUGGUAGAGAAAUGUCACAUAAAGUUCAAUUGAGAACGAUGUAUGUUAUAGCUCAUAAUUCCAGUUUAUUCACUGUAGAAACCCACAUCAGAUGCUUCUGAACAGCUGACCUUUGAUUUCAGUGCACUACAAUUAUCUCUGCUUCAAGAAUUAAAGCUUGAGAAGGUUGUUUUGUUCAAUUCUUCCAGUAAAUAUUUAAACUGAUUCUGUGUGCUUAGGAGUGCCUUAAGAGUUUUUCAUACUUUCUGGCCAUUCUACAAUUAUAAUCUCUGACAGCAGUGUUACCACUUAGCAGUUAGAUAUUUCACAUCUCAGAAGCUAAUAAAGGCUGGUCAUGUUUAUUGCUGGGAUCUUAGACUUCUAAGAAAUACCAGGUUUUGGUUGUGUAAAUGGUGUAGGUGGACCACUAGCUGGUUCUCUUCAAACUCAAAGUCCUUAUAUGGUGGCAGUAAGAGGUCCUGACUCUUUAGUUUGUCUCUAAAGAUCCCAUGAUAGUUUGUGAGAGGAGGGGGCAUUAAUCUUGGAGUCCUGGCUAAAUUUCACUCCAGGUUUGCACAGCAUGACCUAACGAAAUUCUCUUUUUAAUCCAAUUGGUAAAAUUAUUUGGGAUGAAAAGCACUAUACAGUACAUUAAACAGUUUCAUUAAACUGGAAAUAAUCAGAUUUUUUCUCCAAUUGUUUUUGGAGAAAAACAACUCUCUCUGUGUGUAAGCAACAGGAUGUCCUGUACAAUGUGAACAUACUUUUCUCUUUCCUGAAAUUGAAAAUCUGGGGUUAGCCAUUAAGGCCUUCAUUUUUCAUUGAGUAGGACCUCCAAAACAUGAUACUUUCAUUUUAUUAAAAUGGUUUCAUAUUAGCUUUUCUUACUUUAAAAUAGCAAUGCAGCCAUAAAUAUUACUGCUGCGGUCAGUUUUGAUGGAGAAGUACUGCAGGUUUUCUAUGUGUCCCAAACAAACAAUUUUCUCAUUUUCAUUUUCUUUCAUUCUCCGAGAGUAAUUUAAGCUCUGAUUAAAGAAAUGAUUUGGUCCAUGAAGGAAAACAAAGAAUAAUCUAUAAAAUGAAAUUAUAAUGGUGAAGGAGAGUACAGGAAGUGGCAUACUGUAUUUAAUGAACAGUUAACAUGUGCAAAUUUUAUUAUUUUGUAUUCUCAGACAAAACUGAAACUGUUUGCCUUUUCCCAAAAAAAACUGGAUUUGGUAAUUUGGGAGUAUUAACAGUCUAAGCACCAAUCCAUUCUGUGUGUGUAUAAGGAUAGAAAAAAUAAAUAAGACAUUGUUUUCACUUUUGAGAGCCACUGCCUCUACUUUGCAGAAUUACCAGCUUUUAGUCUAAUCACGUCAGAUUUAAGAACUCGGUCCCUUUGGAUAACACAUUAAACCCAGGUUACGCCUUCCUCGUCAUUAAAAAUCCUGUAGCACUGUUUGCAAGAGUGGGAGUGUUCACCCCACCAUCCAGGCUAAAUUUCACUCUUCACUAGUGUAAUCUGUACUCCCCUAAAUCCAAAUAACUUCUCUAGUUGAUGAGAACAUUGUGAAUUGACCUGUCUGUAAUGGCUCCCACUUGUCAUCCAGGUGGGUUCUGCAUUUCAGUGCACCUCAUGUAUCACAUAAAUUAGAUUAGACAGGAUUAAUCUUAUACUUAUAUUUUUUGUGCAUCACCCAACAUAAAUCGUAAUUUGCUGUACAGUAUAUGACCAAUCUUCAUACAGCUCAUAAUGAUUUACAGGAUUCAGCAUAUAAUGUUUAGUUACUACAAUAAAAAGACAUAGAAGACAAAGACAAUAAUAUAAUUUUGUGAGCCUAUAGAACAAGCUAGGCACAAGUGCUCUGAAGAAGCAUAAAGCUAAAGCUGUUAAAUUACUUCUUGAGAUAUUACAUGUUUGCUUAAGACCGACACACCUGCUAUUUGGGGUGAUAAAUUUAUCUUUUUUCUAUACAGGGAAAAACAUUUUUCUUUUUGAAAUAUUUUUGUAUUGUAGAUGCCAUAAUUUGAAACCCACAGGCAACAGGACCCAGCAGAAACGGAAGAUAUAAGCAUUUGGCUUCAGUUUCUGAAGCUGUGUUUUGCAGAGGCUGGGCUUAGUGCAGAGCUGGUCUUAUAGACCAGUGGCUUAACAAUCUGCAGGUAUGAAGAGUAUGAAUCUCCAUAAUGUAGCGUUAAUGAGAGAGCUGCAACUUUCCUAUUGGUUUUAAAGAAGAGAUGUGGAAAGCAUCCUGCCCAUCCUCAGUCUCGGAGACUAAUUCACUCUGCCAACUGAGAUACAGAGAAUUCCGCCUUCUCUACAUCUUUUUAGUCAUCGAGUUCUCCAUGGCUUGCUUCGCCUUGACCAUGGCCACCAUGCUGAUUUACUGGCCAUCAGAGUCAGAUCCCAGUCGUCCUCAGACCAACCUCUCAGUGUUGCUGCAUAAACUCCAAGAAGCUCAGGUCGCAAGAAGAGUUUUUCAGCAAGCAGCGUGUCCCAAUGCCUCAACUCACACCUCUCAUUUUCACAGCCUUUUUCCUUCACCAAAAGAGACUCCAUUCUUAACAAAAAAGUGACAAAUUAAGUAAAGGCCUGAACCUAAUUGCUUCUAUACCCAAAUACAACAGAUUUGAGCAUUCUGUAUGUUAUUCAGCCAAAUAUGGAGUUUACUCUUUUACAGAGCACAAGGCUCUCGCAUAAGGGAAGAAAAGUUUCCUAUAAAUUCACAUGUAAGGGAAUCCCACGGCGUUUGUACAUAAAUACAGUGCAGUGGCACUAGAGGUUCUUUCUGUAAAAUUUAGCAUGUGUUCAGUGCAGACACAUGACGUUAAAAUUUAAAGGGUAAAUAAAUAUUCAACACCUUUUAAAUAUCUGUGGAUAAUGCAGAUAAUUCUGAAUAUUUAUUAAGGGAACACAUCAUAUGUUGUGGGGAACGUACAUUUGACAUUCCCCUUCAUGUAAGUUUCUAGUUUAGUUCCUGACAAAAAAGUGGAGAAAAAAAACAUGUAGUGAAGAUUGGUAUAAAGCUAAUAUUUACUUAAUUAAAGCAGAAGAAGUGUGAAAGAAGAGAUAAGAAUUGUAAUUAAAAUAAUAAAAGAAUUGCAUAAUUUAAAUGAUCACCAUGUGUAAAGCUGAAAUAAAAAGUGAAUGAGUUUAAUAUCCACAAAAGUCAGUCAGAAACAUCAAUUUUUGUAAAAGAAAUCAUUAAUGGAAUCACUAUCAAGAAUGAAACUGAAAAUGUCAGAAAUGGCCAAGCAUAUCUUACAGCUUUACAGCAAACCAAUGAAGUAUUAAUAUAAUUGCCUUAUUAUUUUUUCAGCAAUUACAAGCAAAAUUAGCUGGAUAAUUAUGUCAGUGACAUACAACUUAGUAUAUCUGUUGUUCAGUCAAUUCCAUCAGAAAGGAUGUGAUCAAAAGGCCUUUGGUCUAAGAUAAAUAAUUUAGUUUUAGCUUUUCAUUUGGAAGAGUAUUGAUCUCUGGUGGGUUAUAGAUACAUGCAUAAAGUAUCAACAAUAAAUGUCUUUCAGUAAAAGAAAAACCAAAAUCAAAAAGAAAACUCUACACAUAGGAACUGUUGACUGAUUUCUUUCAUUUGCUUGCACUUUAUAAAACAAACAAGCAGACAGGGGCUAAGGACAGAACACUUCAAUCAAGAUAAAUCACUGAAGUUACUAUCAUAGCACAGCCCAAAUGCUCAUUUUCCCCAAAGUAUUUUUCACUCUCCACAACAAUCUGCAUUUUCAUUGUGCUGUUUCUUUAAUGAUCAGUUGUUUAAAAUUCUGAAGGAGGCAAUUAAUAAGAUUAAUCAUGAAACUCAGCGGUGUAACCAAUUAGAAGGAAUUCAAGCUGGAAACUCACAAUCUACCUAAUGAAAACCCAAUUUUGUGUUUAAAAAACAGGAAAACAGGUUUCUGAAGAAACUGAUUUUCUAGCUUCAUCACCACAUGAGUCUGUAAUGAAAAACGUAUCCGGUAUUGUCCAGAAAGAGAAUCACAAAAGCUCUGCCUUGAUGCUGCUUAAAAGCUUUAAAAUGGGAAUUGCAAUCUUGGUUGUUGUUAAAUGUCAUCCAUUUUUGCACCUCUGUGAAUAAUAUUACUUAUCUUUUCCCAUUGAACAAAAUCACAAAUUUACCUGCACUUACAGUAGAUUCAGUCUACUAGUGCAGAUGCUUUCGUUUUACUCACAAUUCCUAUUUUAUAUGUAUUCUUAGGAGCAAUUUUAGCUCAUUAGAAUCCUACGCCUACCUUUGGGUGAGAUUGCUGUUUCCAUGACAACCACCAUGCAGCAAAUGCUAUAAGUGACCUACUUCUAAAAUACCUGAUUUGUGUUUUACUCGUCCCACUUUUUUUCUUAAUCAGCCACAGUAAAGCUAAUUCAUAAAAGUCUGUUCAAGAUUCUCUUUCGCAAUUUAACCAUAUCAAUAAACAUAUAAAUACCAUAUAAAUAACCAUAAUUUUAUAAAGAGUUAAUAAUAAUAAUA